This is a non-coding RNA of Oryza brachyantha (malo sina), 103 nucleotides long. The record is from Rfam. NCBI's taxonomy places the organism in Eukaryota, Viridiplantae, Streptophyta, Magnoliopsida, Poales, Poaceae.
UCAGCAGAUGAUGAGAACCAAGACAAGGUAUCUGCAGCGCGCCUGAUCCAAAUCGGGAGCGCGAUAGCAUGAUGACUCCUUCUAGGGGAAUCUCUGAUGCAAC